AUACUUACCUGGCAGGGGCGGGUCAGUGAUCACAGAGACCACUUACCCAGGGUGAGGCUCCCCAUUAGACUGCAAAGCUGCUGACGCCUGCCAUGUCCCCAAAUGUGGGAUCCUCCACUGCAUAGUUUGUGGUAGUGGCGACUGCAUUCACGCUCUCCCCUC
This is a small nuclear RNA of Amblyraja radiata (thorny skate), 162 nucleotides long. RefSeq annotates it as U1 spliceosomal RNA. The transcript has a single exon. NCBI's taxonomy places the organism in Eukaryota, Metazoa, Chordata, Chondrichthyes, Rajiformes, Rajidae. The record is from RefSeq and is a predicted model, not a curated record.